GGCUGAUUGGGUGUUGGCGGCGGUUCUCGUAAUGCGUAGGUCGUGGGUUCGAUUCCCACAGGCG
RNAcentral lists this transfer RNA (64 nucleotides) under Actinopolymorpha rutila. RNAcentral's name for it is "tRNA-OTHER". The record is from RNAcentral. Lineage: Bacteria; Bacillati; Actinomycetota; Actinomycetes; Propionibacteriales; Actinopolymorphaceae.